AAUUAUAUAAAAAAAAGAUGUUUUAAUUCCCCCCAAAAAAAAUCCUACUUAAAAAAAUAUACUUAAUAAAGAUUAGAAAUUGGAUUGUAUAACAUCGAAUAAAAUAAACAAACACCUAAUUACAUCUUUAUGACAAAAUCUCUCCAAAUUAUCCUCAUCAGUACAUACAAUUGAUAAUAAGCUGUGAUUGGAGUCAUCAAGUGGUACCAUAAUUCAAAUCGGUACUAAAAGAUAAGAUUCCUUUUUCAACCCAAAAUCAAAAUUUAUAUCACUAAUUAGUUUCGGUUAUAAUUUUUGAUCCAAAUUUGAAAAAUUAAUAAACUAUAAAUAAAUUUUGAAACAUCAUGGAAGUUUUCCACAAAUUAAUCGGCGUUUAUCGAUGAUUUGUUUCGAUUUUUUCGUAUAUUUUUACAUCAACGCGGGUAGAUACGGUUUUACGCUGCCAAGUUGUCCAAGAUAACGUCAGCAAACAUAUUUGUAGAUAAAACCAAAAGGUAAAAAUUAAUGAUUCGAAUAGGUUUGUUUUAACAUUCAAUUUGUGGAUUAUUACCGAGUUUUUAGCUUUUAGAAUUAUUUCUUAAAAAAUAGCAAAUUACAUGACGUUUUGGCUAACAAAAUUCAAUAUGUCAAUUUUGAUGGGAAUUGAUAUUGUUAAGGGGUUGGUAUUAUAUAAUCAACUUCAAUAUGUAACUAACUUUACUCUGAUAUGUAACAUGAAGAUAUGUCAAAAUCGAAAAAUUGUUUAAAAUAAACGCUUUAUUUUUUUAUUUUUGAGUAUAGUUUUGGAGAAUUCAAAUCUUGAAAGGUAACCAGAUGAUAUUUGUGUUAUUUCAAAGAGAUACAAAAAAGAUACAAUUUUACAAAUUCCGAUAAAUUUGUGAAUCCGACUAUAUAAGAACGAUUCUCGUCGUAAUUUGAUGCGCCAAAUCCGAAUCUUCAAUCCGUUUGUCAAGAUUGGUUCUGGAUGUUGAGUUUUUUAUGAAUUUGGAGAAAACUGUGAUAAUUUUAUAGAAUGUUCAAGUUUAAGUUGGUAAUAUUGACAUUUGACAACCAAAACCUAACCUAAAACGGGUGAAACAUCUAUUGAAGUUAGAACUAAGUUCUGUACUAGAUUUCUGAUUAGAAGUCUUAAUAAAAUCGAUUGUCCAGUGAUCAACAGAGUAGAUAGGAUUUCGCAAAUCUUCAUCUCACGGCCGUUGGCAAAGAAUUGCCCUUUGAUUGCUAAAAUCUACUCAAAACUCAAGCCUGCUAUCACGAAUUUAUACAGAAAACUAACGUAAGAUAUGCACAAAAACGUCAGAAUGCUGGUACCGAUGAUAACAUUUGUCCCCGGAUUAUAUAAAUGCUUAAGAUCAAAUAGUGGAAUGAUUAGUAUGGUAGGUAAGGAGACACAUGGCUCACUGUGAGUAAUAUCCAUUAUAUCAAUAUACAUUAAUCUGGCAAGUUUAUGUGGCACACCCAACAUUUCUGCCCAUAAUCUAUGCAUAAUUGGUCUAAUCUAAUUGAAAUGGAAGAGAUCACGCCAAGAUAUGAACAUUGAGCUUUACUGAAGAUCAAUGUCUUCCCUAUUUCUUUUGCAUUAUUGUCAACCAAAUAUAUAUAAUUUUUAAAUCUUGUCAUAUCAAAUUUAAUUUUUUGAUUUUGCGUGCGACUCAAAUAUUGUUAGCACUUACAAAUAUGAAAUAUAUAUUGAUAACUAAAUCCGGAACACCGGUGUGUUCCAAUUAACACCUGUUAAGGUACAACAUUUUAUAGAGCAGUUUUCUGACUCCAUAUCGGGGAUUUUAUUUUCUGUUCUGAUUUCUUACUACUUUAUAUGGAAGAAAACAAUAUCUGAACGUAACAGAAUUUUACAAUCGGUUUAUUAGGUACUAUUUGCUUCUAAAAAUGACGCCCGCUUUGGUUAUGGUACGAAGAUUAGUAUAGUUAAAGAAGUAUUCUAAAGAGACGUUUUGGGUAUCCUCCUCGUACCCAUAUCAAUCAUAUGUCGCUAAUGGUUUGCCGGUGGUCGUACCAACAGAAAACGUCGGCAACUCUCUAUAACUAACCGCCCAGAGGUCCGUAGCAAUUUCUAUAAGGCUUUGGCCUCGACGGUUGUGAUGUGCGUGUGGCCCGUGCAGAGGCUCGUUUUUUUUAUUCAUUAUUAUCCGCCCGGUAAUGGGCACUCUGCAUUCAAUGCCUGACAGAUUACGAAUCGCCUCUAAUUGUAACAGCUACGCCGUUGUUAUUCACCGUCUGCUUUUAAAACCAUUUGAUGAUUACCUCCAGACACCAUCAUCAUCCUAACCGAGAACCCAGCUACCGUUUUAAAUUCAAUACUAAUUAUAUUCUUGGAAUUUGAUUCACAACAAAAAUUUUUUUUGUGA
Molecule: non-coding RNA, 2366 nt
Organism: Onthophagus taurus
Lineage: Eukaryota; Metazoa; Arthropoda; Insecta; Coleoptera; Scarabaeidae
Source: RefSeq, a predicted model, not a curated record